GAUGAACGCUGGCGGCGUGCCUAAUACAUGCAAGUCGAGCGAAUGGAUUAAGAGCUUGCUCUUAUGAAGUUAGCGGCGGACGGGUGAGUAACACGUGGGUAACCUGCCCAUAAGACUGGGAUAACUCCGGUAAACCGGGGCUAAUACCGGAUAAUAUUUUGAACUGCCUGGUUCAAAAUUGAAAGGCGGCUUCGUCUGUCACUUAUGGAUGGACCCGGGUCGCAUUAGCUAGGUGGUGAGGUAACGGCUCACCAAGGCAACGAUGCGUAGCCGACCUGAGAGGGUGAUCGGCCACACUGGGACUGAGACACGGCCCAGACUCCUACGGGAGGCAGCAGUAGGGAAUCUUCCGCAAUGGACGAAAGUCUGACGGAGCAACGCCGCGUGAGUGAUGAAGGCUUUCGGGUCGUAAAACUCUGUUGUUAGGGAAGAACAAGUGCUAGUUGAAUAAGCUGGCACCUUGACGGUACCUAACCAGAAAGCCACGGCUAACUACGUGCCAGCAGCCGCGGUAA
This 515-nucleotide ribosomal RNA is filed under the name uncultured bacterium. RNAcentral describes it as "partial 16S ribosomal RNA". It matches the Rfam family "Bacterial small subunit ribosomal RNA", at positions 28 to 523 of the family's 1533-position model. The record is from RNAcentral.